GACAUCAUGAAAACGAUCAACUUAGGUGUUUAUGACGUCGAUAUUCGACGUCAUAAACACGAUCAACUUUGGUGUUUAUGACGUCGACGUUAUAAACACGAUCAACUUAGGUGUUUAUGACGUCGAUAUUCGACGUCAUAAACACGAUCAACUUUGGUGUUUAUGACGUCGACGUUAUAAACACGAUUAUCUUUGGUGUUUAUGACGUCGAUAUUCGACGUGAUAAACACGAUCAACUUUGAUGUUUAUGACGUC
Molecule: non-coding RNA, 255 nt
Organism: Paramuricea clavata
Lineage: Eukaryota; Metazoa; Cnidaria; Anthozoa; Malacalcyonacea; Plexauridae
Source: the annotation of a GenBank genome assembly